UACGUAGGUGGCGAGCGUUGUCCGGAUUUACUGGGCGUAAAGGGAGCGUAGGCGGACUUUUAAGUGAGAUGUGAAAUACUCGGGCUCAACUUGAGUGCUGCAUUUCAAACUGGAAGUCUAGAGUGCAGGAGAGGAGAAUGGAAUUCCUAGUGUAGCGGUGAAAUGCGUAGAGAUUAGGAAGAACACCAGUGGCGAAGGCGAUUCUCUGGACUGUAACUGACGCUGAGGCUCGAAAGCGUG
This 240-nucleotide ribosomal RNA is filed under the name uncultured bacterium. RNAcentral describes it as "partial 16S ribosomal RNA". It matches the Rfam family "Bacterial small subunit ribosomal RNA", at positions 524 to 763 of the family's 1533-position model. The record is from RNAcentral.